RNAcentral lists this non-coding RNA (161 nucleotides) under uncultured Clostridium sp. The record is from RNAcentral. Lineage: Bacteria; Bacillati; Bacillota; Clostridia; Eubacteriales; Clostridiaceae.
AAGGUAUAAAGUAUUAGCUUUAUUUAAAAGGGAACUUAGGUGAAAAUCCUAGACGGUCCCGCCGCUGUGAUGGGGAGCAACUCCAAAGAAGAUGUCACUGACUUAUGUCGGGAAGGCAGGAGAAGCUGUGAACUGAAGUCAGAAGACCUGCCUUUAUUAAU